GGACCCGCACAAGUAGUGGAGCAUGUGGUUUAAUUCGAAGAUACGCGCAGAACCUUACCAACACUUGACAUGUUCGUCGCGACUUUAAGAGAUUAAAGUUUUCGGUUCGGCCGGACGAAACACAGGUGCUGCAUGGCUGUCGUCAGCUCGUGUCGUGAGAUGUUGGGUUAAGUCCCGCAACGAGCGCAACCCUCACUUUUAGUUGCCAUCAUUUAGUUGGGCACUCUGAAAGAACUGCCAGUGAUAAGCUGGAGGAAGGUGGGGAUGACGUCAAGUCCUCAUGGCCCUUACGUGUUGGGCUACACACGUGCUACAAUGGUAUCUACAACAGGAAGCAAAACGGCGACGUUAAGCAAAUCCUUAAAAGAUACCUCAGUUCGGAUUGCACUCUGCAACUCGAGUGCAUGAAGCUGGAAUUACUAGUAAUCGUGGAUC
RNAcentral lists this ribosomal RNA (435 nucleotides) under uncultured bacterium. RNAcentral's name for it is "bacterial SSU rRNA". It matches the Rfam family "Bacterial small subunit ribosomal RNA", at positions 917 to 1350 of the family's 1533-position model. The record is from RNAcentral.